Molecule: ribosomal RNA, 459 nt
Filed under: uncultured bacterium
Lineage: Bacteria
Description: partial 16S ribosomal RNA
Rfam family: Bacterial small subunit ribosomal RNA
Source: RNAcentral
CCUACGGGUGGCAGCAGUGAGGAAUAUUGGUCAAUGGUCGGGAGGCUGAACCAGCCAAGCCGCGUGAGGGAGGAAGGUACAGAGUAUCGUAAACCUCUUUUGUCAGGGAACAAAGACUGGGACGCGUCCCCGGAUGAGUGUACCUGAAGAAAAAGCAUCGGCUAACUCCGUGCCAGCAGCCGCGGUAAUACGGAGGAUGCGAGCGUUAUCCGGAUUUAUUGGGUUUAAAGGGUGCGCAGGCGGUCUGUUAAGUCAGCGGUCAAAGCCCGGGGCUCAACCCCGGCCCGCCGUUGAAACUGGCAGUCUCGAGUUGGAGAGAAGUAUGCGGAAUGCGCGGUGUAGCGGUGAAAUGCAUAGAUAUCAGGAGGAACAUCGGUGGCGUAAGCGCUUUACUGGGCCGUAAUUGACGCUGAGGAACGAAAGCCAGGGUAGCAAAUGGGAUUAGAUACCCCUGUAGUC